AAAAGAAAAGGAGGAACUACUGUUCCUCUUCUUGAAUCCAUCCGCCGUCAUACUCCACCACCGUCACAACCCAAAACAAUCGUUCAUCACCAUCAAAUCUACCGCGCCUCAUACACCAUAACCACCGUUAAACCAUGAAACAUUUCCUUCGACAAACUCUCCAACUACUCUCUCACACUCACCGAAAACUCUCCCUCACCUCACCUAUCUUCUCUUAAUCUCUGUAGAAAAAAAGGAGAAAAAACGAGAAAAGAAAAAGAAAUUGGGAAAAACUCUUCCUCUUCUUCGAAUCUCACAAGCCACUACCCCAUCGCCUCCAUUGCCUCCAACCGACGCCAUUACUUCCAUCACAGACCACCGCUCCACCUCAACAACCUUCAUCAAACCCAUACUCCCUCCAAAUCACCAAAUAACCAAACCAGAUCCAUACGUCUUAAUCCCGCCACCGCAACGUAAAGAUCUUCGAUGGUAUCCGUUCAACAUGCGAUUUCAUAUUUUUGGUUCAAUCGAUAAGAACGGGGUUUGAAUUUAUAGAAAUCAAAUUUAUUUAGUUCCUGUUGUUUUUAAAAUUUUCUAGUUGGUUUUGCUUUACCAUGGUUUGGUUAGUUUUCUCAGAGGUUUAAUUUCAUAAGAUUGCUGCCAUGUUUUAGUGAUAGGCUUGCGUUACGUUCUUGGAGUGCUGAAGUUGCUAACCUUGUGCUUCACUAUGAAUCACCUCCUUCACCACCCUCGCUCCCAACGAACUUUCCAACCCUUCUCGAUUCAGACGCCGUCACAGCACCGUAACCAAACAACAACACCAUUCCGCGAGCUCCUCCUUCCACCUGUCCAAAACUGAGCUCAAAUUGGAAAUCUCCGAUUCCGACUACUUCAAGAAGCUCAACUUACAGUGGCACAAACUCAUCAACAUUGACAAUACAACGACAUUGUAGGUAACGACAUUCUAAGGCCAUAAUUUUAUUAUGUUGGUUAUUUAUUUUACUGUAUAAUUUUAUUUUAUUUUGGAUCUAUGAGGUGUUGCUGUUGUUUCAUGCCAUUUGUUUUUAAUACUAGGAUGAAUAAAUGUUAUGCAUAGUAAGUUUUUUGUCUUAAUUUUCCCUAUGGAUAUUGUUGCCAUCGCCUAUUAAGCACUGGCACUGGGUGCUACAGAGGUUGUUGUUUGUUUAUGAGAUUUAGUACUUGAUUUAACCAAAUGUGGAUCUUAAAUAUAAAGGUGACCUUAGCUAGUACGCCAAAAUUGAAAAUGCACCCUUAUUUUUGUAGUAUAUGAUAGAUAAUUGCUUAUUAAAUAGGACAUUUAUAUGUAGCUUCGAUACUGAGUAUAGGUUAGUAUGCUGACACUAUUUUCUUAUAUUAAUGUAACAUUCUAGAUUUCGGUUCACUCGUGUAGCCAUUGUUGGAAUUUUACUCUUUCCAGUUUUUAUAUUACUCUUGCAAAGAUAUAAACAAUGUUUGUGUUGCUUUUAUUUUAUUCCUGGUGCGUGCAAAAUCCGAUAAAUUAAUGGAUUCGACCUUUUAUGUCGUUAUUCCACCAAAAUUUCAAUAUAUCAAUAGAAUAUUUUUCACCGUGUUUGGAUUUUGUAAAUGACAUUGACCAUGUUGUCAUCUUGCACAAACCGGUUUGAGCACACCGAUUCAAUUAAUCAACUUAAUUAAAUUCUGAUAAAUUAAUAAUUAAAGGUUGACCAGUUUCUUUUCCACUGUCUUUUCAUAAUAAGCAAAUUCGAUUCCACUUCAUGUUAUCAUCAACCCAUAAUCACAAAUAAACCGCACAAUUCUCAAUUCAAAGUUGAGCCCAUUUUUCCAAAACUUUGUAAGUCGAUCGCUUUUAGCAUCGCCGUCAACCUCACAUAGCUUACUCUUGGGCUUUCUUACAAUGAGAACUAUUUGAUUUUAUUCAAUCGAGUAGAAGAACGAUACACUAAAAUAAAAUUCAUUUCACUCAUAAGCACCAAAUUUAAAACCUCGACCCAAUGUCGAGUAUUUUCAUUCGAAUUAAAUUAAAGUACCCAAUCACAAUCAAAUACCAUUUCAUUUGGAAAUGAAAAGGGGGAUGGCUUUGAGUUUUCAAUUCCUCUCCUCGAUUACUUGAAUACGUGUUCUCUUACUCGGUUAGUCAAAUAGUCGUCACUUCCAUCCAUCUAAGCAUAAAAAAAUCGAAUCAUUUUAUAAUAAGAAACGAAAAGGGAGAUGACUUUGAGUCUUCAAUUUUUCUCCUCGAUUAUUUGAAUACAAGUUCUCUUACUUGGUUAGUCAAAUAAUUGUCGUUCCUCUACAAACACAUUUUAUAAUAAGAAACGAAAAGGGAGAUGACUUUGAGUCUUCAAUUUUUCUCCUCGAUUAUUUGAAUACAAGUUCUCUUACUUGGUUAGUCAAAUAAUUGUCGUUCCUCUACAAACUUCCAAACCUCGAUUAAACCAAAACACUUUCAUAAUGAGCUAAAUUAAAAGGGAGAUGACUUUGAGUUUUCAACUUCUCUCCCCAAUUGUUUGAAUACGAGUUCUCUUACUCGGUUAGUCAAACAACUGUCAUUUUUCCACAAACAUAUAACUUAAUCAAAUCAUUUUCAUAACAAACUGUAUGAAAAGGAAGAUGGUCUUGAGUUUUCAAUUCCUCUUCUCAAAUGCUUGGAUAUGAGUUGUCUUACUCAGUCAUUCAAGUACUUGUCGUUCAUUCUAAAAUACAUCAACCAUACGCAAACCUAUUUUCAUAAUCGCUCAGAUGAAAAAGAAAGUGGUCUAGAGUAUUCUAUUCUGUUUCCCGAUUAUUAGGAUACGAGUUAUCUUACUUGAUUAUCCGAGUAUUCGUGAUCCAGUCAAAAUACCUUAAUUAUUACUAAAACCUUUUAUAGUUAAAGAGGAAAAAGAAAGUGGUCUAGAGUUUUCUAUUCCCUUUCCCGAUUAUUAGGAUACGAGUUGUCUUACUCGGCCAUCCGAGUAAUCGUCAUCCAAUCAAAAAUACCUUGACACAUCCAACCUAUAUUUUCUCGCCCCCGUGCGAUCAAAACAAACCAAACAAAACAUCAAACACAUUAAUUCAACUUGUCACCCCGUGUGACCAAAACCAACAAACUCUACUCAAAAGAACACUGUUAAUCCUUUCUAAUGCGCACAACAAACUAGUGCUAGAGCCUCCCCCGAGAGUAGACAAGCCAACGUUUAGUCGUUAGAACGCUGACUUACACAUUCGUUCAUCAAACAAAACUCACAAAAUAUUCAUAGUAUCCCGAACUACGAAUGCUCUUAUUUCCUUAUUGCACCAUAAGGAUACAUAGGCAGGAGAUUGUUGUAUCUUCGUGAGCACACUAAUAAAAAAAACCUCUCAUUUCCCCUUCCUGAGGUCUUCAUCCAUAUCUAUUAUCAACUCUAAUUACUCGAAGAAAACAAACAACAUUCAGUUAACACUCAAAUCGCGAAAUUGAAGUAAAAGGUUCCCGUUGAGUACAACGGACGUGAGGGGUGCUAAUACCUUCCCCUUGCGUAAUCCACUCCUGAACCCGAAUAUGGUUGCGACGACCAUUAUUCCAUUUUCUUAAAGGUUUUCUCGAUAUUUUCCUAUUCCUUCUUUGGAAUGAAUAAAAUUCGGUGGAGACUCUAUUCGAACAUUUUUCCGCAUCCAAUCGCGAGGGAUCGCAUUUUUUUUUCGAGGUGCGACAGACUGGCGACUCUGCUGGGGACCCAUGCUCCAAGCAAGAGAGAGUGAAGCCUAACUUAGUUUAAUUUCUGUAUUGGGUGUUAAUCUUGUUUGUUUGUUUAUUACCUUUAGUCUAUCAUUAUUCUGUUGUAAUUAUUGUAUUGUGGUUUACUUCUUAUGAUACUAUUGGGAGUUCUCUGAUUAUGUGUACUGUGUGAGAUAGACUCUCUACCCGAGCCUGAGAAAAACCAUAAGUUUAAGUUGGUGGUUGCAUAGUGGACGCCCAUAAGGAGUCUUCCUUGUUUGGAAGAUGCGAAGACUCCGCCUAGAGGAGAUUCUCUUGAGAUACUAUUGUCCGACGAGCCUUCGUCACGACGAUGGUGUUUCAAGUUGGAUCAAUGACUCUAGGGACAUUUUAACCCACUAUCUGACGGUUAUGUAGUAUUAACCUACGAAGUUUCACACUUGUUGGGUUAAUACGAAAACCCCAAUCAGGUGAGAUCCCUUUGACGUAUUAUUACCUUACAGUAAUAUUUCCAACCUCGAUCUAUGACUCUGAGAACCUUAUUAGAACCUUGGACUCAAGAGUCGCAUAGUAGAAUCCCCAUGGAAUCUUCCUUGUUGGGACAAUACGAAGACCUCUCCUAAGAUGAGACUAUCUUAGGGGUAUUACUGUCCGACGAGUCUUCAUCACGGUAGUGAUGCUCUCGACGAGAAUCGAUGACUCUGGGAACCUAUUAACCUUAGGACUUACCCUUGGGAAUUUCAGUAAUCAGAGAAACCUAUACUUCCUCCUGUUAUCCUGAUGUACACGACGUGUGAAUGAUCUUGAGUAUUGGCAUUCCUUUGCGAAAAAUGGCAAAAAUUCAUGCAUUUGCAUAUCAUAAACAUGCAUUGCAUAUCAUCUUCCAGAGACAAAAACUUACACCAUAUUCUACCCUUUGUCCAGUAACACUGACUACUCGACACCGGUACGAGACACGCUGCAACUACAGGAUGACACUCGAACAACUUGGAGCAAACCAGGUUUCAAUGAGGACAGACAUCGACUCCAUGCAAGCGAAGAUGGACCGUUUACUUGAAACUCUAUUGCUCCUAGCCCAGAAGGAAAAGGAUGCCGAGACUAGCGCCGAAGCCAGAAAAGUUGCCGCUCAGUUUGGAUCACCAUCGCUUAGCAUCCUUGGAGUGACUGACCUUGAUGGUAACCUUGCCCAUCCUAAAGAAGGACCCAUCCCUAUUCAUGUUCCCAUGGUCAAUAUAAACCCCCAUGAGCCUUCCGCUACAACUGCUCGACAUGGAUCCAUGAUGGGUGAUGAAGAUCCAUAUGACGCUUUCUUCAUGCCAUAACCCACCAAACCUGCUGUUGGAAGUCUCCUAGACCCAGCUGUUGAGAGACUCCAUGCUCUGGAAGAGAAGUUUAAGUCCUUGGAGGUUCACACUACUCCCGAUUUGGACGUUGUUGACAUGUGCUUGGUACCAGGCCCCGUGAUUCCGCAAAAGUUCAAGGUCCCGGACUUUGACAAGUAUAAAGGGAUUAGCUGCCCGAGAACUCAUCUCAGAGCUUAUUGUCGCAAGAUGGCUGCACACAUCAGUAAUGAUCAACUCCUGAUUCAUUACUUCCAAGAUAGCCUCAAUGGGGCAUCCUUGGAGUGGUAUAUGCAGCUAGAGAGAGGACAAGUCCAGUCAUGGAGAGAUCUUGCUGAAGCUUUCCUUAAGCAUUAUCAGUACAACACUGAUCUAGCGCCCAAUCGCACCCAGCUGCAGGACAUGACUCAGCGUAAUAACGAGUCAUUCAAGGAAUACACACAACGUUGGAGAGAGCUAGCACCUCGUGUCCAACCUCCUCUUCUUGACAAAGAAAUAAUUGAUAUGUUUAUGGGAAUUUUUCAUACUCAAUAUAUGGAGAAAAUGGUAGGAUCCAGUUUCCCAACUUUUGCUGAGGUUGCCUCUGUGGGAGAAUGAAUCGAGAGCCAGAUCAAGAAGGGAAAUCUACCUUGCGCUGCCAAUGCUUCAAGUGGGAUAAAGAAACCCUAUCCUAAUCUCCCAAAGAAGCCAGAAGGUCAGACCAAUGCCAUAAUGAGAGGAGGAGGAUAUUGGACACAUCCAUAUGCUCCUGUGCCUUACCAUCAGGUUGUCGCUGUCAUCCCAACACCAUAUCAGCCACCAUAUCAACAACCAUAUCAAUAGUCCUAUCAACAACCAGCUUACCAGUAGCCACAUCAUAAUCAACAACAACGUGCUCCACCGCAACGUCAACCUAACCAGCAGGGGGCAAGGAGACCAGAAAGACAUUUUGAUCCUUUGCCAGUACCAUACAGCAAGAUCCUUCCCUACCUGCUAAAGGAUGGAUCAAUUGUUUUGAAGGAGCUAACACCUGCAACUCUUCCCUAUCCACCAGGCUAUGACGCCAAUGCUCACUGCGAGUAUCAUAUGGGUGCCCCAGGGCAUACAGUAGAAAAUUGCAAGGCCUUCAAGCACAAUGUCCAGAACCUGAUUGACAGUAAGGAAGUUACUUUCACGCCAGUUAGGCCAAAUGUUGCAACAAAUCCCAUGCCAGCGUAUGCAGAGUCGAGUGAAGCUCGAAGAUAAAACUUCCCACCGGCCUGGACAAGCAGAGCAAUUCCGCCAGUGGAUCAAAAGAUGAAGGCCCGUUUCUUUGAAUGAAGGCGAUCAUUAUGCCAUUUUUACCCUUUCACAUUCUUGUAAUUUGUUCUUGUUUGUCUAAGUACUGUAUUGCUUUAAACAUUGUUAUUUGUAUUUGGUCUUAUUAAUGGGAUGAUUAUGCAUGAUUUGAAUCAAUCUUUCAUAUUCACUCAUCAAUCACAUUUGCGAAACACAAACACAGACUUUUCCACUUCACCUUCUUUAUCACACUAUUGUUAGUAAAUGUUGGAAGGAGGAUGACGAAAACGAAAUACCCAUAAUUGCUGAUUGUAUGCUUUCGGAUAAAAUCCUACUAAUGAUGUACAUGCAUUGUUUCAAAUCCCCAAAUACUGGAGAGAUAAGGAGUUAAUCCCUAGUCAACCACUUUGAGCCUAGAAGUAGGAGUUUCUUUCAGAUCUACAAACCCUUACGCUUAACCUAGGGUAUGUCGCAUCCGCGAAAAACAACCGGCGGGCAAAAACAAAACAAACAGAGCCGCCACCGUGUGUUAUUUAUCCCAAAGAGGGAAAGGAAAUGCUCGAAGUAAACCUGGAAAAGACAUGGUCUCGUGACCAAAGAGAGAUGGGAUCGGGAGUCGGUUAUGCGAAGGGAAGGUAUUAGCACCCUAGCGCAUCCUGAUAGCGGGAUCACGCUCAGAAAGAAGAAAAGAAGUUGCAACGCUGCCUCAAAAGAAUGCACACACACUGCGAAACAACACAGUGAAGAAACAGGAAACGGGCUCGCUAGGAUAUCGCAUCCUAUGCCUACGUAUCUCAUCUGGAAUGAGAAUCAGAGCUACCGUAGUUCGGCUCACGCACGCCGAAACAAAACACACGCACAGACGCUGAGACGUCAAAUCAAACACGCAAACGGAAACUGAAUGCCAAUCGCUGGACUUACAUCAGACUCCGAACCAACAAACAUACACAGGAAACCAACUGCCAAUCACUGGACUUACGUCGGACUCCACACAAACAAACACCAAUAGGAUACGGACUGCCAAUCGCUGGUCUUACAUCCAUAUCCUAACACACACAAGAAGGUUAACCAACAAAACAAGUUACUAAGGAGUCUGGCACUCGAGCCUAGUAACUUUCAAGCAAACACACGCAAAAAGAAAAAGGGUCCCCGGAGAGAUCUCGUACGACCUCCUGCCUACGUACCUCAUCUGGUAUAAGGAUCAGGGCAAUGUAGUUCCCCUUAACAGGGGAGAAACUUUCUCCUAACCAGAGACUGGGAAAUGACAAACUAGAAGGGAGACUGACUCGAGCCUAAUAGUUAUCAUGUAAUCCACCAUGGUCCUAGGUUGAGGUUUCUANNNNNNNNNNNNNNNNNNNNNNNNNNNNNNNNNNNNNNNNNNNNNNNNNNNNNNNNNNNNNNNNNNNNNAUAAACAAACACAAGCAUUGCCUCUUAAGGAGGGCUUCAGACAGGUGCCUGCCCAAGUAACAGGACAGGUCUUCCAGACUACAUGAAGUCAGAGAGUUAUACCUAUGUGGUUAAGCAACCAAGCAAAAGCAAGUUCAAAUUGAACUUAAGCAACUUAUGUACCUGUUGAAACAUCACACAAGUCAGUACACAACUCAGACAAUCAAACAACAAUCAAUAUCAACAGUCAAACCCAAUAGGCAAAGGCAUAAGCUACAACUCAAACUCAAAUGAGUUAGCAACCCUACAAAACACACAAUGUUAGUAGUCAAAAGCAAGCAUCAAAUGCUCAAGUGAGAUUGCAUCAUGAACCAUAUAACCUGGAUGUUCAACCUGAAAUCAAAGCUCAAAGAUGAGACAAACCACUAGGUCAAGGCCUAGGGUCAAAGAGGGAGAAAAAAUUCAGAACAGAACAUGAAAAUUGACAUGAAUCAACUUCAAUCAAUCAAGAACAUCAUCCAAAAAGUCCCACAUCAAUAUCAUUCACCAAUUUCAUUUCAUGAACAAAAUAUGGAAAGAUAUGCACAUUGUAACCACAUUGAGACAACAGAAUGAACAAAUGCCCAAUAAAUCAAAUAUUAUUCAAUUAAUUUUGGGAAAUAUCAUGGGUAAACAGAACAAACAACAUGAUCAAAACACCAAAAAUCAAGGCAUUUGGACAAGUUUAAGCAUGGUAAUCAAAUUCAUCAAGUCAAAGCAAGCACAAACAAGCUCAAAUGAGGCACCAAAUGCUACAUCAACUUAGCACAAGCCUAAAACAGAAAUGGUAAAAGAUAAAAACCUCAAACCAAAGCCAAAACCACAUUCAACAUGUCUAGAAUUAGUGUGCAAAAUGUCAUAUCCAUAGGAUAAAGCACAAGCAUUUCACAAACAAAUGAAAAUCAUGACUAUUCAAAAGUUCACAAAUGAUCAUCCAGAAUGAAAAAUCUCAAUCAAAUCAGAAAUCAAUCCAAAAAUUCCACAAAAUAUCAUGAGCAUUCACAACAUUCAUAUCAAGCACCAUACAAAAAAUCACAUCAAUUGGAGUUUAUUUGGCAUGGCAAAGAAAUCCAUCAAGUUGAGCAUCACAAGGUGUGACACAAAUUGUCACACCUAACUUAGAAAAACCAUAACUCAGCAAUGGCAAUUGAUAAAAAUGCAAACUCAACACCAAAAUGUCCAGCAAGAUGUCUAGUUUAAGCAUGUAAAAUUUUAUGAGCAUUGGAUAAGAAUUGAGCAUUUCACAAUUGAUAUAUCAAAGCAAUGUCAAAACAUGACAUGUAUACACAAACCCUAGCACAAAAAAUUAUACAACCAUGCAUAAUUUCUGGAAAAAUAAUAAAAAAAAACUAGACACAAAAUGUGACCUAAUGCAAAAACAACCAUAUUUUUUGGAUCAAUAUUUAAUUUGUUUUGAUUUUUUAAAGUUGAAGAAAAAUUAAAAUCAUGUGAAACAAGUAGGAAAAGGCAUGGAAAUAAAUAUGAAAUGAGCACUUGAAAAAAAAUGCCCAGCCAAGAUUCGAACUGCCUGCAUAUUUGAACCUGAAUUGGCGCGCUACAUGGCAAAUCCAUGCAGCCAAUCAGCGCCUUGCCCUAGCGCAUGCCUAUGGCAACGAUUUUGAACCGUGGCCAAAAAGUGUCUUCAUCUUCUUCAGCAAAGCACGCAUGCAUGAACAGUACAAGUUCAACAUCAUCAUGAACAAUAUUCUCAGUUUUUGAAAUUAAGCACAUGUAUAGCUAGGUCUUUCAAUGUAUAACAACAAUCCACAAUUAAUUUAACCAAAAACAUCAUGAACAAUGAGAAUCAAUCAACUUAAGUUUCAUGCAUAGAACUUUAAAUCACCACAACUCACUCAAUAAUGCACGGUUUUCAGUGGUUCAAAGCUCAGCAUGCUCACACAAACAAGAUCUACAAGUCUAGCACAACAAUUUCAAGAAAAGAGAGACUCGAAAUUUUGACCUCUUGAUGAGCAACACGGUUUUCAGUGGUUCAAAGCUCAGCAUGCUCACACAAACAAGAUCUACAAGUCUAGCACAACAAUUUCAAGAAAAGAGAGACUCGAAAUUUUGACCUCUUGAUGAGCAACUUUCGAUUCGUGUGAUUUCAACGCCUUGCAAUGCUUCCAAUGUGUUCUAGCAAGCUUGUAUAGGUGUAUGGAUGAAGUCUUGAUAUUCAAUUGAGCUUGUUUCAACAGAUUUUGAAUUCCACCAUUGAUGAUCUUCAAGCUUGCAUAGGCUUCAAACUCCAUGAAUUCAUGUGAUUCUUGCUUGCAUCUUGCUCUAUGAUGAUGCUAGAUGAUGAAUUUGGCUAGGAAAAUGCAAAGUGUCUGAAGAAAUUUUGAGAAAAAAGUGAGAGAGAAAUUUGAGAGACUUUGAGAAUUCUAGAUCUAGAAUUGGAAAAUGUGAAAAUUCUGUUAUGAUUUGUGUUAUAUAUGCUUCACUAAUCAUGAUUAAUUAAAUUAAACCAAGUGCUAAUGAAAAAUGGUUAAUUUGGAGGUGUUUUGCAAAAAUUGGGAUUUCACCCUUAUGCAUGGGAUGCAUGUGAAUAGUGCACGUUUUUGGCCUUGAUUUCACUCAAAAUAAUGUUUUAAGGCCAAUGGUGAUAGUAGCAUGUGCAAAUAAUGCACACAUUUUGAAUUCUAUUUUUCCCUCCAAAAAUGCAUUGAAUUUUCAACUAUUUAUGUGAAUGGAAUGCAUGUCAUGUAAUGCCAAAUUUGGAAACUAGAGGUUAAAAGGAGAAUGUUGCAAAAAGAGCCAUCUCAUUUGGACAUUUGGUGUGAAAGUUAUGCCCCUUUGAAGUUCCAUGUUCAUUUGACCAAGAUUGAUCCAUAUCUCUUCAACCAUACAUGAGAAAUUCAUGAUCUUGGACUUUUUGGAAAUGGGAGAACAAGAUCUACAACUUUCAUUUCACAAAUUCAUUUGAAAGCUUUCUUGAUGAUGUUAUUUGAGGAGAAAACCUUUCCAUUCUUUGGCAAUUUUGAAUUUACAAGUCACUUUGUCUAUUUUUGCGAAAUUUUGGUCCGUGACUUUAUUUUCUUCAAUGUUGAUGUUUGAAAUGUCAAAUGAGACUUGUUUGAACAUGAAUGAAGUAUUUCUAACCACUUCCCACCUCCAAAUCCAACAGUUGACUUGUGGUUGACUUUUUUCAGUUGAUAGAUGACUUGAUCAUGCACAGAUGAAUUUGAGCCUCAAUCCCUUGAUGAAAUGGCUCCAAAAUGAAACCCUAGCUUAUACAAGCUCAAUAAAAUCAUAGGAUGAUCCCCAUCUCAUGAAAGACCUCAUCUCUUUGACAAACCCUGAUUGGCACAAUACAACUGAUUAGGAUUGACCAGAGGUCAAAACCCUAAUCCCAAGGAAUCUGAUCAGGCACAAUGAACCUCUUGGUGAUGAUAAGACCAUGAUGAUGGUGAUGUACCAUUCCAAUCCAAGAUAAUGAUCAAUCUCCUUGAGGAACCAAUAAACCCUAAUUGAAGCACAAACCCUCAGAUGGCUAGUGAUCAAUUCAUUAAGACUCUCAGGCUUGAAUCUUUUAACCUCUCUAUCUUCUGAGAAAGACUUAGGAGGAUGACUUGCUCAAUGUUUCCACAUGAUAUGCAAUAUGCAAUGACUAAUGCCCUAAAGAUGAAAAUGCAAUAUGCAAAGCUAGUCCCAAAAGAGGAGGGAAAAUUUUGAGGUGUUGCAUAAUUGCUGAUUGUAUGCUUUCGGAUAAAAUCCUACUAAUGAUGUACAUGCAUUGUUUCAAAUCCCCAAACACUAGAGAGAUAAGGAGUUAAUCCCUAGUCAACCACUUUGAGCCUAGAAGUAGGAGUUUCUUUCAGAUCUACAAACCCUUACGCUUAACCUAGGGUAGGGUAGUGUUCAGUUAACCUGACUACACAUUCGAAUUACAAGAUGAAAUAUUCCAUACAAGGAUCAAUCACAUGAUAUUUUUCGCACACAUCCUGAAGUGUCGAAGGAACUAUACAAAUCCAAAUUUUAUGACAGUUGUUCUUCAUUGACCAAUGACUUGGCAGUCACAAUUUUCAAAAAAAUCAAAUCAAAAAAGCCCGCUAAGUCCAACACCCUAAAAGGAGACUUAGGCAAAAACUGGGGCAAUCCCGAUGGAUUAAAGCUUCAAAAGGCGGUCCAUGCAAAAUUAGGGAUCAAAGCAAAAAUCGAGAGAGGCCAUGAAAGUCCUCAACAAAGAAAAACAAUAACCAGUGACCACCAUACCCAAGUCAAAAGGUCGCCAACAUCCAUGAAGAGAAAAAAUAGGAUGACUGUCAAGGGAUUGUACACUGCUGAACUCUCGCAAAAGUAAGUGUGUGCCGAAUUAACUGAACGUAGGAUUGGAGAUCAUUGUGAAAAAGGGGUGGGUUAAAAUAAACUUUGAGCCUUAUAUCCUUUUGUUUCAAAAAACCAUGAACCAAGCCACGUUACAACCCUCAAAAGACCUAAUUGAAGUAGGGUUUAUUCUGAAAGCAUACUACAACAAGGUUGCGUAAACUGACUCCUAGAGAUUUGCUAAUAUUCUAUUCUCACUAUAUCACUCACACGCCAGCUAAAAUCAACACCGUGUUUGGACACAUGGUCCACUCGUCACACACUACCACAAUACUCCCAAGUGAAUGAUUGUUUUUCAAAACUUACAUAACUAUUGCAUUAACAUCACCAUUUCUUGGAUAUGAGAUGUCGAAAUUCUGGUAUCAGAUAUGAGAUGUCAAAGGUAAUGUCACGACACUAAUAUCUGAACAAUACGAACAGGAUAAAAGAUAAAGAACAGUAAUGCAAGAGACACAAGCAAUUGUUAACCCAGUUUGGUGCAAACUCACCUACGUCUGGGGGCUACCAAGCCAGGAAGGAAAUCCACUAAACAAAAUCAGUUCAAAGACUCUCAGUAAACAACUUCAAGUUACAGCCUUUUCACCUAAUCUCUACCCGUGUGACUUCUACCUAAGAACUCUUAGAUAUGAGAUCCUACUCACUCCCCCUCAAUCACAACAGUGAUAUAAAACAAGAAUUACAAUGAAAAGAAGACACUCUUCAAAGAAUCACCUAAUCUCUACCCGUGUGACUUCUACCUAAGAACUCUUAGAUAUGAGAUCCUACUCACUCCCCCUCAAUCACAACAGUGAUAUAAAACAAGAAUUACAAUGAAAAGAAGACACUCUUCAAAGAGACAUACUUGAUCUUACUUAAAAGCUUCAAUCAAGUAAACACACACUCAUGCUUCAAAUCUUAUAGUGGACAAAUUAUAACUCAAAAAUCAGUCCAAUUCAAUCAUCUAUGGAUGAAUGAAUGACUUACAAUACACACGACCACACAAGACUAAAACCCUUAUUCUCUCUCAAUUUUUCGUUCGUUAUUUCUUGUGUAUAAAACCAAGUUUUCCAUGCCCUAUUUAUAGAAUCGUUUGGCUGGGCUUGGACAUCAUAAAACCCUAAAACUAUUUUCCAUUCAUAUCUUCUCAUGAUAGCUGAUUAUAUCUUGUUGGAAAAUAAGUCAAUCUAGUUGUAAUUACUGAUUGAGAGCAUGUUUAAUCAUCUCUUCAAUCAUACAUAGAUUAGCAUUAAAAACACAAUCACACAAUACAUAACAUUAAGACUGAAUGUUCUGUAUACAGAUGUCAUGACAUCGGGUCUGACAUCUCAGUAAAAUCCUGCAUAUUCACAUUUUAAACAUCCUGCAGGUACAUGUUAUCUUAUGUCAAGACAACACUUGUGACAUCACUGACAUCUCAGUAAAAUCCUGCAUAUUCACAUUUUAAACAUCCUGCAGGUACAUGUUAUCUUAUGUCAAGACAACACUUGUGACAUCUUGUGAACACUCUAGGUUUUACCAAAAUUGCUGCCAACAUAUAGAACCAACAAACUCCCCCUUUGGCAAAUUUUGGCUAAAACAUACAUCAGUCCAUUUGUUCACAAGAGUACAAAAAAACAUAUCAACAGUUUAACAGCAGAAGUAAUAAACCACACAUUUACUAGCUAUCAUAGCAACUAGUAAACACACAUAACACAUAUAUGUGCUUCUUCUCCCCCUCAGUCUGUUCAACACAGACAUCUCCUUCAACAACACCUGUAACAUCCAUCACUCCAUCUGACAUCUCCUUCAACAUCACCUAUACAACACAGAACAUCAUUAUGUUCAACAUCAGCUGUCAUCUGUUUAUAGCCUAGCUACUUCAUAGCACAUAUUAACUGCAGCUCUCCUCUACAGCUCUCCCUUUAGCUACUACUUCUCCCCCUUUUUAGUCAAAAUAGACCAAAGAGACCAAUGAGACAAAAUAAAUGUCUAUUAGUCCAACAGAGAAUGUCACAUAGAAUAUUAUAACAUAUAGAAUGUUAAAACAUAUUGCCAGGUGUUACAGAACCAUAAUUAUACACAGCUAUAUCAGCUGAGAUAAAAAGAAAUCCAAAGAACCCAAAAAUUACAUCAUGGCAUCAAAACAAGACUGCCAGAAAAAACAUCAAACAACACAUCAUCAUAACAGGGGGAACCAUCCUCACCACAACUCAGUCUGAGGAUCUAGCAUCUUCAUCAGCUUCAGAUCCAGAACUGUCACUUGAUUUAUCUUGAGAUUCAGACCUCUCACUUGAGACGUGGGCAUCUGUAUCCUUGGCUUGACCAAUAUUAUCCAUGUCUCCUUGCUCCAAGCUAUUAAUCAGAACCUCCGGAGCUUCUUUCCUAGCUUUAGCCACCCUAAUCCCAGUCUCCAAUUCCUUAUAGGUCUCUUUCAGUUCAGCAAUCAGGCCACCUUGAGAGGUUGGCUUCUUCAUAGCAGAUGUCAUGACAAUGUCAUUGACUUGACUGCCUUUAAAUAACUUGUAAUGAACUGACAAUGGAGGUUUUCUUCUACUAGGGAUAUCACUUGUGCUCAGUAUUCCAGGUUGUUGGCUUAGGAUUAUCCCACAAAUUAUUGAGGGAAACGCAAUGGGCAGCUUCACUGCUUUUGUGGAAGCAUGUUUGACAAUUUGUUCAAACAUGAACCUUCCAUGAUCAAAAUUAAGCUUGGUUCCAAUAGCAAAUAUGAUCCUCCCAAGAGCAUUAGAGAUUAUAGAGAUAUGGUUUGUUGGUACCCAGUUUGUUGACCCUAUCUUAUGCAAGAUAACAUAUUUCACAGUUAAUUUACCAGCAGAGAGAUACUUUUUUCUUGGCCACUCCUUGACCUGUCCAGCAGUUAUCGUCCUACAGACCUCAUUGUCUGUGGCCUCUAAUUCAACAACACCUUCUGUUCCUCUUCCUAGAAGCUUAUUGAUCACAGUAGGAGAAAACUUCACACACUUUCCUCUAACAAACACCUUGUAAAACUCUUUGUUGUUCUUGUCAGCAAUGUCCUCAGGGAUGUUCACCACAAACUCUUUAACAAGACCUUUAAAACAUUGAGAUAACCCACUAACUGUUUUCAUUAAACCAGCAGACUUGAUCAGGUCCAUGACCUCCUUAACUUCCACAACAUCCUUUCCCAGUUUUCUUUCCACAGCUACUCUCCUUUGGAUUACAAAUUUCCACUUGGCUGCACCAUCUUCCAGAUGGAAGGAAAUGUUAUCCAAAUGCACAGCAGCAACCUUAGCAGGGGAUUUUCUAACAUUUGACCUUUUGACAGGAGAGAUGUCUAGGACAUUAUCUUCAACAUCUUCCUCUGAAUCAGAAAUUUCUCUUACCUUUCUCUUCUUUACCUCCACUUUACUCCAAGACUUUGAAGGGCCUACAGCAGUAGCCUUCUUACCAGUUUUGGCUGUCAUCAUCUCAGCCACAGACCUACCCUUUCUGGUCUUCAUCCUUUUAGCAACACUUGGCUUCAAGUGAUGAAGCAAGCUAUCAUCUUCCACGUCUGAGCUUUCAUCGUCCAAGUCAAUCACCUUCUUACCAGAGUCAUGCUUCUGAGAAGCAUCUACAGAUUUCUUACUAGGCAAGGUUUACCCUAAAGAACACAGUCCUUCUGCAGCAAUAUCUUUCUCAAACCUAGAUGAGUCAUCAUCUUUCUCAUUGUGAGGUUCAACCUCAGGAGAAGGGUCCCUUCUAGACAGAGGACUAGACACUCCCUUUACCGAGUGUUCUUCAUUUAGGAUCCUCGAGACAAGAUUUCUAAUGACACGAUCAGUAUGAUACAUGUCAUCUUUAGAGGUAGGGUUAUCAGAACUGUUACCUUGAGUAUAUCCAGUAGUGGAGGAUGGACCAGGAGCGUCGCUUGGGAUGACUGAUAGGGGAAUCACUUCCAAAAUGUCCUCAUAAAGAAAAUCUAUGGAUGGUGUUCUUGCUUUGUGUACAAGUUUGGUGUUUUUAGAACUAGAAGAUGAAGGAUGUUGUGACAUCUUGUUGAGCUUGUGAAAGAAUUUUUGUUGCCCUAGUAGAGAUGGUCGAUAAAAUUUGAGGAAGAUGGAAGUGGUUGAGCUGAGGUUGCGUGUGAAAAUGCUAUAGAUGAUAGUUUAUAUACUAGGUAAUGAUUUACCAUAAAUGAGGCCCUUUCUUUUAAGUGGGAAGAUAAUAUUCUUAUUACCUUUUCCACUCCAAAUUAAUUGCUAUAAAUUCUCACGGAUACAAAUCCCUAAUUUCCCUCUUAAACAUUCAAAUUGAUUAGCAUCCAAAGCCUUUGUAAAUAUGUCAGCUAAUUGCAUUUCAGUAGUAACAUGCUCCAGGGCUAUGAUUUUCUCUUCCACUAGAUUGAUUAGCAUCCAAAGCCUUUGUAAAUAUGUCAGCUAAUUGCAUUUCAGUAGUAACAUGCUCCAGGGCUAUGAUUUUCUCUUCCACUAGUUCUCUAAUAAAGUGAUGACGAAUAUCAAUGUGUUUUAUCCUGCUGUGCUGAAUAGGAUUCUUAGAAAUAUUUAUAGCACUUAGGUUGUCACAGUACAAUGUCAUGACAUCUUGUGUGACAUUGUAUUCAGUCAACAUUUGUUUCAUCCAAACCAGUUGAGAACAACUACUCCCAACUGCUAUGUAUUCAGCUUCAGCAAUGGAUAGGGACACACAAUUUUGUUUCUUACUAAACCAUGAUAUUAAGUUGUUCCCCAAGAAGUAACAUCCUCCUGAUGUGCUUUUUCUAUCAUCAGCACUUCCAGCCCAGUCAGCAUCACAAUAUCCAGUCAGCAUAGAUCCAGAUCCAUGAGUAUAUAAUAUCCCAUAGUCACCGGUGCCAUUGACAUAUUUCAGUAUCCUCUUCACUUGGUUUAUGUGACUGACUUUUAGUUCAACUUGAUAUCUAGGACAAACACCUACAACAAAAGCAAUGUCAGGUCUGCUUGCUGUGAGAUAUAGCAAACUUCCUAUCAUGCUUCUGUAGAGACUUUGAUCUACACUAACACCAUUUUCAUCUUUGGAGACUUUCAGAUGUGUAGGAGCAGGUGUUCUUUUAUGACUUGCAUUCUCCAUGCCAAACUUCUUAACAAUGUUUUUGGCAUAUUUGCUUUGAGAUAGAAAGAUAGAAUCUUCCAUCUGCUUGACUUGUAGCCCAAGAAAAUAGGUCAGCUCUCCAACAAGGCUCAUCUCAAAUUCAGACUACAUUUAUUUAACAAAAUGUUCGACCAUCUGAUCUGACAUCCCACCAAACACAAUAUCAUCCACAUAUAUUUGAGCCACCAUGAGUUUUCCUCCUUCAUUCUUAACAAAUAAGGUUUUGUCAAUACCUCCCUUCCUGUAUCCAUUGUUAGUGAGGAACACUGUGAGUCUAUCAUACCAAGCCCUAGGAGCUUGUUUCAAGCCAUAGAGGGCUUUCCUCAACUUGUACACAUGCUUUGGAUAUGUGAAUCCUUUAGGUUGUUCAACAUAUACUUCCUCAUUUAAGUAGCCAUUCAAGAAGGCACUUUUUACAUCCAUUUGAAACAGUUUGAACUUCAGAAUACAUGUCACUCCAAGCAAUAGUCUAAUGGACUCAAGGCGAGCUACAGGGGCAAAUGUUUCAUCAAAAUCCACUCCUUCAACUUGAGUGUAUCCUUGUGCUACUAAUCUUUCUUUAUUUUUAGUAACCACCCCUUGUUCAUCAGAUUUAUUCUUAUACACCCACUUUGUUCCUAUGACAUUUAUUCCUUCCGGUCUUGGAACCAGUUCCCACACUUCAUUUCUCUUGAAUUGGCCUAACUCUUCAUGCAUGGCAUUGAUCCAGAACUCAUCAGUCAAGGCUUCCUUGACAUUCCUAGGCUCAAUCUUGGACACAAAACACCCAUGUGAGAUCACUUCCCUGACUAAGUUGUGACGCCCUUUACUUUGGGUCUUAUAUGAGAUCUUUAUGGAUGAUCCUUCUGAAGUUCCUGAGGGGGGUCCCUUGUUGAUUUGUGUCAGUUCAGGUUCGCUUGAGAGGUUCAUCUAUUAUUUUUUCGUGGUAAUCAGCUGGGCAUCAUUUUAGAAGAUGUCUCAACAUCGUCCUGUAAUCAUCAGUUGUUGAUUCAUCACUCACAACAUUGAUAGAUUCCAUCAUUACUUUUGUUCUGGAAUUAAAGACUCUAUAUGCUCUGUUGUUUGUUGAGUAGCCCAGAAAUAUUCCUUCAUCACUUUUGGGAUCCAUCUUCCUUCUUUGUUCAUGAUCAGUCAAGAUAUAACAUUUACUACCAAACACAUGGAAGUAUUUGACUGUAGGUCUUAUCCCUUUCCAGACUUCAUAUAAGGUAGUAGGAGUCCCUUUCUUCAAGGUUACUCUGUUGUGAACAUAGCAGGUUGUGUUCAUAGCUUCAGCCUAGAAGUGGUAGGGAAAUUUCUUGGCAUGAAUCACAGCUCUGGCUGAUUCUUGGAGAGUUCUAUUUUUCCUUUCUACCACACCAUUUUGAUGGGGAGUAAUGGGAGAUGAGAACUCAUGGCUAAUUCCUUCUGAUGCACAGAAUUCAGCAAAUUUGUUGUUUUCAAAUUCCUUCCCAUGAUCACUUAUGAUUUUGAUAACUUGACUUUCCUUUUCUCUUUGAAGUCUUAGACAAAGAUCUUUGAAGAUUUCAAAUACAUCAGACUUUUCUCUUAUAAAAUUGACCCAGGUGUAUCUGGAGAAGUCAUCCACCACUACAUAGGCAUACUUCUUCCCACCAAGGAUUUCCACCUGCAUGGGUCCCAUCAAAUCCAUAUGGAGGAGUUCCAGCACUCUGGAAGUGGUGUCAUGUUUAAGCUUCUGGUGUGACAUCUUUGUCUGUUUUCCAAUCUGACAUUCCCCACAAACUCUUCCUUCAUCAAUCUUCAAAAUGGGAAUUCCUCUAACAGCUUCAACAGAUAUAAUCCUCUUCAUUCCUUUAAGAUGCACAUGGCCCAAUCUUUGAUGCCAUAUCUUCACUUCUUCUUCUUUGGCUAGAGUACACAUUGAGGAAUAACCAGUUUCUUGAGAACUCCAUAUAUAGAAGUUGUCUUUAGACCUAACUCCUUUCAUGAUCACUUCAUUUUCUUUAUUAGUAAUCAGACAUUCAGUUUUUAUGAAGUUUACAGUUAGACCUUGGUCACAUAGUUGACUGAUGCUUAUUAGGUUUGCAGUCAGUCCCUUAACAAGUAGGACAUUGUCAAGAUUAGGAACUCCAGGGCAGUUAAGCUUACCAAUCCCCUUGAUCUCACCCUUUUCUCCAUCACCAAAGGUUACAUAGCUGGUGGCAUGAGGAUGAAGGCCAGUUAGCAGGUUUUUGUUUCCAAUCAUGUGUCUGGAGCACCCACUGUUAAAAUACUAGUCUUCUUUGGCUGAAACUCUGAAGGAAGUGUGAGCUAUCAAGUUUGUAACAACAGUCCUAGGAACCCAUUGUUUUUUGUUGACAGGUAUGUGAUGUUUGGGUCUAGGUUGAUGAUGAGAAGGACUAGGAUAGCCAUAUAACUUAUAGCAGAAUGGUUUUAUGUGGCCAAAUUUUCCACAGUAAUGACAUCUCCAUCUUUGAUAUUUCCCUUUCUGCUGUCUUCCUUUAUGAUGUUGUGACAUCUCUGGUUUGCUACCAGUGUGACUGCACCUAGGUUUAGAUUUAGGUUUGCUACCAGUGUGACUGCAUUCAGGUUUAGAUUCAUUGAACCUAAUGCUAGACUUGUCUCCUGCCAUUUGUCCAGUCUGGAGAAUUUUGUCUAAGGUGUCAGUUCCAUUGUUCAGCAUUCUGACAUACUUUGUCAUCUCAUCCAGUUUAGAAUUCAAGAAUACUGCUUCAGUUUUUAACUUAGAGAUGGUUUCCAAAUGUUCUGCCUUUUCAUUCUCCAACUGUGCUAUCACUUUCUUCUGACUUUCAACUUGUUGACACACUUCUUCACUUCUGUGACACAGCUUUCUGUAGGUAGUCGCUAACUCAUCAAAGGUCACUUCAUCAUCACUUGAGUCUUCAUCAGAACCCCAUCUUCCAGUCAAGGCAGUCACAAGAUUUGCAGACUCUUAUGUUUCACUUUCAUCAGACCAAGUAGAAGUAAGACUCUUCUUCUGUUUCUUGAGGUAGGUUCCACAUUCAGUUCUAAUGUGUCCAUACCCAUCAUAUUCAUGGCACUGAACUCCUUUUCCUUCUUUGGGCUUUUCAUCUGAUCUAGUUCUUCUUCCAGAAUUGUUGGAUUUACUGAUGUCAGAUGAGAUAUUCUUGACAUUAGCCUUAGACCUUACAUCCAUCUUUUUUAGAAGUCUGUUGAACUGUCUUCCCAACAAUGCUACAUCAUAAUUUCCAGAUCUUCAUCAAUAUCUUGACCACUUUCCUCCUCUUUCUCCUCAGUGUUUUACAUGAAGGCUAUGCUUUUGACUUUCUUUUCAGAUCCAUCACACAUUCCCAUCUCAAAUGUUUUGAGGGAUCCAAUUAGCUCAUUAACUCUCAUAUUGGAAAUGUCUUGAGACUCUUCUAUGGUUGUCACUUUCAUGGCAAAUCUCUUAGGAAGUGACCUGAGUAUUUUCCUCACUAGUUUUUCAUCUGCCAUCUUCUCACCCAGGGCUCCUGAGGCAUUAGCAAUUUCAAGUAUAUUCAUAUGAAAUUCAUAAAUAUUUUCAUCUUCUUUCAUUCUUAAGUUUUCAAACUUGGUAGUGAGCAGCUGCAGUCUAGAGAUCUUCACUCUAGAGGUGCCUUCAUGAGUGGUUUUGAGAAUGUUCCAAGCAUCUUUAGCCACCUCACAGUUGUUUAUCAAUCUGAAGAUAUUUGUAUCUACUCCAUUGAAUAUAGAAUUCAAUUCUUUAGAGUUCCCAAGCUCUAGAUCAUCCUCCUCUUUGGUCCAUUGUUCCUCAGCCUUCUUAUCAGUUGUAGCUUCUCCAUCCUUAGUAAUCACUGGAUGUUCCCAGCCUGUUAAAACAGCCUUCCAAGCCUUGUUAUCCAGAGAUUUUAGGAAGGCUACAAUUAGAGGUUUCCAGUAGUCAUAGUUGGAUCCAUCCAGAAUAGGUGGUCUGUGAACAGAUCCUCCGUCUCUAUCCAUAGUACCAGAAAGUAACGUCCUUAGAUCUCACCCAGAACCAGAGCAUGAUGCCUGCUUUGAUACCAAUUGAAAUUCUGGUAUCAGAUAUGAGAUGUUGAAGGUAAUUUCACGACACUAAUAUCUGAACAAUACAAACAGGAUAACAGAUAAAGAACAGUAAUGCAAGAGACACAAGCAAUUGUUAACCCAGUUCGGUGCAAACUCACCUACGUCUGGGGGCUACCAAGCCAGGAAGGAAAUCCACUAAACAAAAUCAGUUCAAAGACUCUCAGUAAACAACUUCAAGUUACAGUCUUUUCACCUAAUCUCUACCCGUGUGACUUCUACCUAAGAACUCUUAGAUUUGAGAUCCUACUCACUCCCCCUCAAUCACAGCAACGAUAUAAAACAAGAAUUACAAUGAAAAGAAGACACUCUUCAAAGACACAUACUUGAUCUUACUUAAAAGCUUCAAUCAAGUAAACACACACUCAUGCUUCAAAGCUUAAAGUGGACAAAUUACAACUCAAAAAUCAGUUCAAUUCAAUCAUCUAUGGAUGAAUGAAUGGCUUAUAAUACACACGACCACACAAGACUAAAACCCUUAUUCUCUCUCAAUUUUUCGUUCGUUAUUUCUUGUGUAUAAAACCAAGUUUUCCAUGCCCUAUUUAUAGAAUCGUUUGGCUGGGCUUGGACAUCAUAAAACCCUAAAACUAUUUUCCAUUCAUAUCUUCUCAUGACAACUGAUUAUAUCUUGUUGGAAAAUAAGUCAAUCUAGUUGUAAUUACUGAUUGAGAGCGCGUCUAAUCAUCUCUUCAAUCAUACAUAGAUUAGCAUUAAAAAUGCAAUCACACAAUACAUAACAUUCAGACUGAAUGUUCUGUAUACAGAUGUCAUGACAUCGGGUCUGACAUCAGUCAUUUUAGGACGUAUAAGUGUAAAAUUUGUAGGACGUCCUACAUGUUAUCUUAUGUCAAGACAACACUUGUGACAUCUUGUGAACACUCUAGGUUUUACCAAAAUUGCUGCCAACACAUAGAACCAACACAAUAUAAGACAAAUCUCCAAGCAUCAGUGGAUGAGAGAGGAAAAACACUUCGAUACGUAGCCCGUCUGAGGCAAGUGUCUCAAAGGCUAAUCAGGGGAAGAUUGUUGCAAGAGUCAUACGUUGGAGAAAACAGACUCAAGCCAUGAGAUAAUCACUCCUAAAGGUUUCCUUUCAAGGAGGAUUCCUGUGAACACCCUACAGACUGGGGCAAGACAAGUUGCAAGAGGAAAAUUCCCUUCAUAUCUUCAAGCUAGUCAAGCAGAUUGUGUCAGACACUAGUGACUGCUUGAACUCACGAACAAAAACGUCGAAGGUUCAUACCAGUACAACAUCACAUCUUAACGAGAAUCCUAGUGGCACAUCAAAGGCAUGACCAUCAUGCAUUGAUCACGUCGCUAUGCUCAGUUACAGGCUAGCCAGACAUCUCAGAAGAAGAAGCCGAGAUCUUCUCAAAGACAAAUACACAAUAUAUCAACAAGAAAUCAAACUUGGGGCACCAAGAGUAUCCGCAUCUACUGCGUGUUCAUCACAUCAUCAACUACCGAGUGUCGGGAAGUCAGAUUCUCCCACCAAUCAAUAGCUCAAUCCACAUUGAGAAUGACUAGAAAAGACCAAAGUCCUCCUGGCUGGCACUAACACAAAAUCAAAUACAACCAGCACUAGUUUCCAGAAGAUACAUCGCCUUUGAAAAGGGGGGCCAAUCCCUAUCAAACCAAUCAUCAUUUGCAUUCAAACGUGCAUCACAUGUAUCCCAUGUAUCACCUCAUACAUAACACAUACAUAACAUUUAUUCAUAUAGCACAAAUCAAAAUCCAAGGUCUAGUCGUAGGCAUCCAGGCCAACCCUCAGUUGAGUCAUUGUCACUUCCUCUAAGUGAGUUCCUACCCUAUUAUCGGGCGUCCCCCAUUAAGUUACAUCCUUCAACCUUUUGUUGAUAAGGUAUUAUCCUCAGCUAAGUCAAACAUUGUUUCUUUAAACACCUACCUUGUUUCGCGUUGAGCGUCCCUCAAUGAGUUGUUUCCUAUAACCUUUUGUUGAUGAAAAUUACAUCUUUCUAGAGAACAUUUUUCUGCGACCUUUUGUUGUUGAUACCCCAAGCAAGUCUUACCCAGUAGUGUUCCAAUACUACCCAACAAGUCGGGUUUAUCGAGCUUUGUUAGUAGCCUUAUUUUUCUAUUAUUUCUCUCACUAUCAUCCUCUUGGUGAAAGUCCCUUGAUGAAUAAUGAUCAUCGCCCUAUUUACGAUAAUCGUUAUCCUUUUGGUAAUGGUAAAUCCUUGACAUUCGUGAUCUUACCGUCAUCCUUUUGGUGUCGGUGAUCCUUGAAGUUUUGUCCUAACCUUCAUCCUUUUGGUGAAUGGUGCCCUUUGCAAUUAUUAUAGCUUACCGUCAUCCUUUUGGUGUCAGCCAUCCUUGUGGUGACAGGGAUCCUUGUCAUUUUGGUUCAACCAUCACCCUUUUUUGAUGGUGAUCUCGGUUAUUAUGUUUAAUCAUCAUCCUUUUGGUGAUGACGUCCAGUUCAAUCUAAACAUCAUCCUUUUGGUGAUAGAGAUUACGGAGUUUGGUUUAAGCUAUCAUACUUUUGGUGAUGGUGACAUUUGGAAAGUCCAAUCCCACUGUCAUCCUUUUGGUGUCAUCAAUAUUUGAAGUUGUUAUAACUUAUUAUCAUCCUUUUGGUGGUAACAAGUUUCGAAGUUAUGAUCUACCCUUCAUCCUUUUGGUGAUGGUGAUCGUUGAUUCAUUAUCAUCCUUUUGGUGAUAACGAGUCCUGUUGUUUGUAGUACCUUCAUCCUUUUGGUGAUGGUGACUGUCGACUUAUUAUCAUCCUUUUGGUGAUAACAAGUUUUAUUGUUCGAUCCUACCUUCAUCCUUUUGGUGACGGUGAUCAGUAAAGGUUAUCGACAUAUUAUCAUCCUUUUGGUGGUAACGAAUUUGUUGUUUGAUCCUACCUUCAUACUUUUGGUGACGGUGACCAUUUGAGUUAUGGACUCAUUAUCAUCCUUUUGGUGAUAACGGGUUUUUAUUUUAUAUUACCUUCAUCCUUUUGGUGAUGGGGAUCCUUUGAGUUGUGUGACUUAUUAUCAUCCUUUUGGUGGUAACAAGUUGUGUUGUUAAUUUUACCUUCAUCCUUUUGGUGAUGGUUAUUGGUGACUUAUUAUCAUCCUUUUGGUAAUAAUAAGUUUUGAAGUUUUGUUCUCACCUUCAUCCUUUUGGUGAUGGUGAUCAUUUAAGUGGUUAUGACUUACUAUCAUCCUUUUGAUGAUAGCAGGUUUUGUUGUUUGACCUUACCUUCAUCCUUUUGGGGAUGGUGGUCAUUGAAGUUAUUUGACUUAUUAUCAUCCUUUUGGUGAUAACAGGUUUUGUUUUGAUCUUACCUUCAUCCUUUUGGUGAUGGUGAUCAUUUGAGUUAUUGACUUAUUAUCAUCCUUUUGGUGGUAACAAGUUUCGUUUUUGAUCUUACCUUCAUCCUUUUGGUGAUGGUGAUCAUUUAAAUCAUCGACUUAUUAUCAUCCUUUUGGUGGUAACGAGUUUUGUUGUUUAAUCCUACCUUCAUCCUUUUGGUGACGGUGACCAUUUGAGUUAUGGGCUCAUUGUCAUCCUUUUGGUGAUAAUGGGUUUUGUUUUGAUCUUACCCUCAUCCUUUUGGUGAUGGCGAUCAUUAAGUUUAUUUCGGCUUAUUAUCAUCCUUUUGGUGAUAACAAGUUUUGAAGUUCUGUCCUUAUUAUCAUCCUUUUGGUGAUAACAAGUUUUGUUUUUGAUCUUACCUUCAUCCUUUUGGUGAUGGUGAUCAUUUGAGUUGUUGACUUAUUAUCAUCUUUUUGGUGGUAACAAGUUUCGUCUUUUAUCUGACCUUCAUCCUUUUGGUGACGGUGAUCAUUGGUGAUUGUCGACUUAUUAUCAUCCUUUUGGUGGUAACAAGUUUGGUUGUUUAAUUGUACCUUCAUCCUUUUGGUGAUAGUGAUCAUUGAAGUUAUUUGACUUAUUAUCAUCCUUUUGGUGAUAACAAGUUUUGUUUGGUCUUACUUUCAUCCUUUUGAUGAUGGUGAUCAUUGAAGUCAUUUGACUUAUUAUCAUCCUUUUGGUGAUAACAGGUUUUGUUGCUGGAUCUUACCUUCAUCCUUUUGGUGACGGCGAUCUUUGAAGUUGAUGAGUUAACUAUCAUCCUUUUGGUGGUAGCCCUGAUAUUAUACUCUCGGUAAUGGGAAACUUUAUCAGAACGACCAUCAUCCUUUUUGGUGACGGACAUCGUCCUUUUGGUGAUGGAAACCUUUGGAUUGUGUCCAACUUUCAUCCUUUUGGUGAUAGCAAGAUUUGUUGUCGAUAUUACCAUCAUCCUUGUGGUGAUGGCGAUCUUUCUUGUAGCCACUGUAACCAUCAUCCUUUUGGUGAUGACUACCUUUGAAGCUCGGUUUAACCAUUAUCCUUUUGGUGAUGGACCUCAUCCUUUUGGUGAUGAUUCUUUUUAAAGCCCGGUUUAUCCAUCAUCCUUUUGGUGAUGAUGAUCCUGAAAAUCAUGGUGAAUUUCGGUCAUCCUUUUGGUGAUAUCAAUUAAUCCUACUGUCAUCCUUUCGGUGCCAGAAAACCUGUUCAAUUUUAGUCCCACAUUUGUCUUUACAUCAAUAACGACCUUUGCAAAGAUUUAAAUGUCGACUCGAGGGUUGACAUUGAUUUGACAUUCUACCCCUAAUACCUUGGUGUUGUUAGAAUUCAUUGCAUUUUCUUUCUGCAUAUCUCCAUUGCAUUCCAAAGGACAAAAUUUGGGUCUUUUCGUAUUUAAUUACCUUCCACCACGAAUGUAUGAAGACCGUUGUCAUUCUUACCUUCUAGUUCAAGAUAAUUAAAUAGGGGCAGCUGUCAUACCCCAAUUUUGUUCGGGCAUUUAAAUCUUUGUAAAAUUGAUUUCAUUUUUAAUUUGCAUCAUAUACACAGCAUGGCAUGCAUUCCAUCAUGAAUAAAACCUAAAAUAUCAGUUGGAAUAAAUUAUUGAAAAUACAGACAAUCGGUUAAAUAAUUUCUCAAAAACGUGCAAAAAUCAGCGGGUAAAAAGUUUCAAAAUUAAAAUUGCAGACGUCAGUAUUAUUAAUCUACGGUUCACGUAGUUUAACUUGGUGUGCUCGUCAUAUUUUUCAAUGACUGUUUCGGCUGCAUUGUGACCCGCCUGAGCCUUUUAACCGGUGAAAAUUUAUUUCAAAAUUUAAAGAAACGCUGUAUUUUUUCAAUAAGUAUAUUUUAUGCUGAUAAUUUUAGUGUGCCCGAUUUAAUUUUUCGAGCAAAUUUAUAUCCGGCUUCUAUUUAUAAUCGAUCACUAUUUUUGCUAGGUUAAUUAUUCAACUAAAGUAAUUAAAAGUUUAUUUAAAUCAAAACAUUUAUUAGGAAUUUUUAAUAAGAGUAUUUCUUUUAAUAAUAGUAAUUGUUUGAGAUUUAACAUUGGAUUCUUUGUAGUAUUUUUGACAACAUUGGAUUCUUUGUAGUAUUUUUGACAGCUAGCAUUGAAGAAGGAAAAAAGAUCUCUCAUAUCUCUCUCUCUCUCAGCCACGUCACACUCACAACAAAUACUCUUUCUCCCACUAACUCUCUCUCUAAUCUCUCGUACGCAUAAAAAACAGAAGAAAAAAACGAAAAAAGAAAAAGAGAGGCACAAACCACCACUCUCUCUCUCUCCUCACACUCACCUACAAUUACUCACUCACUCACAUCUCUCUCUACACUCAGACUCUCUCUAAAAAAUAAUUAAAAAAAGAGAAAAAAGAAAAGGAGGAAUUACUGUUCCUCUUCUUGAAUCCAUCCGCCGUCAUACUCCCCCACCGUCACAACCCAAAACAACCAUUCAUCACCACCAAAUCUACCGCGUCUCAUACACCAUAACCACCAUUAAACCAUCAAACAUUUGCUUCGACAAAAUCUCCAACUACUCUCUCACACUCACCAAAAACUCUCCCUCGCCUCACCUAUCUUCUGUCAAUCUCUGUAGAAAAAAAAGAGAAAAAACGAGAAAAGAAAAAGAAAUUGGGAAAAACUCUUCCUCUUCUUCGAAUCUCACAAGCCACUACCCCAUCGCCUCCAUUGCCUCCAACCGACGCGGUUACUUCCAUCACAGACCACCGCUCCACCUCAACAACCUUCAUCAAACCCAUACUCCCUCCAAAUCACCAACAACCAAACCAGAUCCAUACGUCUUAAUCCCGCCACCGCAAUGUAAAGAUC
Molecule: long non-coding RNA, 27202 nt
Filed under: Lathyrus oleraceus (garden pea)
Lineage: Eukaryota; Viridiplantae; Streptophyta; Magnoliopsida; Fabales; Fabaceae
Description: Pisum sativum (pea) long non-coding RNA (PSAT_LNC030755)
Source: RNAcentral